Non-coding RNA from Lactuca sativa (garden lettuce), 764 nucleotides. NCBI's taxonomy places the organism in Eukaryota, Viridiplantae, Streptophyta, Magnoliopsida, Asterales, Asteraceae. The record is from RefSeq and is a predicted model, not a curated record.
GGACAAUGCAUUGAUUGAAAUAGUGUGUGUACGUAAUUCUGUAUAUAUCUGUUAUAUCUGAUUUGAGAUUUUUUAUAAUGAAUUAAAUGGGAAGCUCCCACCAAAUCAUCCAACACUUAAAUCAGAUCAGAUCACAGGCUUUUGGAGAAUGAGUGCUGUGGAUGAGGAGUUGGCGAACAUAAACGAAGUUGUAAUGAAGCGUUAUGACGGUGGAGAGUCAAAGGGAAACUUUGACCCCGAAAAGCAUAUAUAGGCUUAUUUACCUGUUAGACUCAAUGAGCAACAAGUGACAAAUUUAUUGCAAUGUAUAAUUCCCAUUUCAAUUCUUUGGGUUUACUUUGCUUACAUGUCAAUUUUCAUUAAGAUUGUUGCUCUUUUUCAUCCCUCAAGUCGGUUAAGACGUUUCUAGACCUCAAGAGCUGGAAGCAAGUUGGUGAAGCUUUGGCGGAACUAACCCCAGUUGGAGGCGGUGUUAAUUUGUGAGCAGAAGAGAAACACCGUCAAAGGCAAAAGAAAAAGAGCAUCGACCGCGAGAAAAGAAAGAUCGAAGAAAAGAAAAAUCUAGGAACGGUGGGUGAUGUUGAUGUGUUGGCGAUGGAGGGUAACUGCUGUCUCUUUAUUAUAAAUUAAUGUAUACGUAAAUUACACAAUAGAUUUUGCUUUCAACUCAAAUAUGUUUAAAACUAUUAUUAGAAUGAUUAGUUACUUAAAAACGAUUAUGAUUAACCAAAAAAUAUCCAAAUAAAUGGUUUUAACUUGAUUAA